Molecule: non-coding RNA, 65 nt
Organism: Dipodomys ordii (Ord's kangaroo rat)
Lineage: Eukaryota; Metazoa; Chordata; Mammalia; Rodentia; Heteromyidae
Source: Rfam
GGUGGCUCAAUGGUAGAGUGCUUGCCUUGCAUGCAUGAAGCCCUGGGUUCAAUUCCUCAGCACCA